GUCAGCCCUGUGUAUAGUUAGUUGUUUAGUAUUUGAAAUGCAGCUACUGUGACUAAGGAACUGAAUGUUAAAUUUUAUUUAGUUUCAUUUAAUUUCAGUUUGAAUUUAGUUAGCCAUAUGUGUGGCUAAUGGUGCUAUACUAGAAAGUACAGAUAAAGAACAUUUCCAUGAUUUUUUAAAAUUUUAAUUUGAGAUUAGGGCCUUUCUAUGUAGUUCAGGCUGGCUUCGAACUUGCAGCAGUCCUCCUGCCUCAGCCUCUCAAGUGCUGGUAUUACCGGUGUGACCCACUAAGGAACAUUUUCAUGAUUCUAGUGAGAGUUCUGAUGGACAGCGACUCCAGACUUGAUUAUUUGAACUUUUACAGAAUGAGGACUCUCCCUUCAUAAUUUGACAUGGAUGCUAGGUGCUAUUUCAAGAAAGGCAAGAAAAUUUAAAGGGCUUUUGGAGUAUUUACUACGCCUGUGAUUUGAGUCCAGGCCUGUGUAGUCUUGUGAUGGGUCUUAUAAGCCGAGAAAGAUAAACCAGUAUCUUAGUUGUAUGUUUAUGAGUUGAUUAUAGACCGAGGGAUUCUACACAGCUCAUUAAAGGUGAAAGGAGUAUAACUAGAAAAUAGAACAGGUAGUCUCUUUGCACAUUACCCAUCAUUCUCCACAGGGCCAGUUUAGAUUUACGUUUGGCAGUGUCUUUAGUAGUUUAAAACUUUCAAAACAACAUGGUGGGGCUGGGGAUUUAGCUCAGUGGUUCAUUGGCCUGCCUUGCAAGUGCAAGGACCCGAGUUCAAUCCCCGCUACAAAACAGAAAACAAAAAACAUGGUAAGAACUGAGAAAUCUGUUUUUUAAAAUUAUUGGGUUUUAUGUGUUUUAACACAUUCCUAUUCUGGUUACUAGUGAUUUCUUUGGGUAACAUAGUUGUGAACUUGAGGUUAUCAGUGGUGCUGCUUUUUUUCUACUUAGAGAAAAAAUGUAAGACUAAUUUUAUAUUCUUUCCAGGGGGAAUCCACUGGUCUGGUGAAGUGUUGCCAUUGUAUUUCAGUGUCAUUCAUUCCCUUGCUACAGUAUUCUUUCUACCUUCCCAACCAAAAGCUGUUUCCACGUACAGAACAAAGUAGGAUUGAGAAUAAUAAACAGGUAAGUACAGGCUUAAUAGAUAACGUUAAAAAUGUUGAAUUCAAGAAGGAAUGAAUAAGUAGCAUGUAGCCUUAAAGGAAGCUUAAAUGUUUCAUCAGGAAAAACUGACAUCUGUGCCAAAAAUUAAGAUUAGCCAGGCAAAGUGCCACAGGGCAUUAGUCCCAGCUACUGUAGAGACUGAGGCUGGAAGACACUUUGAGGCCAGCUAAGGCAGCACAGCAAGGGGUUCUUUUUUAUGUACCCAUACUGCUUAUUAUACUUUCUCUUAGGUUGUUGUAUAUAUUUUAAUCAUAGAACUUUUCUUCAUUAGUCUUUGACCAUCCUGAAAAGAUGAAUAAAUUACUGUUAUUCAUUCUUCUGUUCCCUUUUGUUUAGCAUGGAGUCUCAGGUGAACGUAUUUUUUUUUAAACGAGAACA
RNAcentral lists this long non-coding RNA (1545 nucleotides) under Fukomys damarensis (Damara mole-rat). RNAcentral's name for it is "lncRNA (ENSFDAG00000032024.1)". Lineage: Eukaryota; Metazoa; Chordata; Mammalia; Rodentia; Bathyergidae. The record is from RNAcentral.